RNAcentral lists this ribosomal RNA (560 nucleotides) under uncultured bacterium. Its description in RNAcentral is "bacterial SSU rRNA". It matches the Rfam family "Bacterial small subunit ribosomal RNA", at positions 338 to 916 of the family's 1533-position model. The record is from RNAcentral.
CCUACGGGAGGCAGCAGUGGGGAAUAUUGGGCAAUGGGCGCAAGCCUGAUCCAGCCAUGCCGCGUGGGUGAAGAAGGCCUUAGGGUUGUAAACCCCUUUCAGCGGGGAAGAUAAUGACGGUACCCGCAGAAGAAGUCCCGGCUAGCUCCGUGCCAGCAGCCGCGGUAAUACGGAGGGGACUAGCGUUGUUCGGAAUUACUGGGCGUAAAGCGCACGUAGGCGGAUCUGUAAGUUAGGGGUGAAAUCCCGGGGCUCAACCUCGGAACUGCCUUUGAUACUGCAAAUCUCGAGUCCGGAAGAGGUGAGUGGAAUUCCUAGUGUAGAGGUGAAAUUCGUAGAUAUUAGGAAGAACACCAGUGGCGAAGGCGGCUCACUGGUCCGGUACUGACGCUGAGGUGCGAAAGCGCGGGGAGCAAACAGGAUUAGAUACCCUGGUAGUCCACGCCGUAAACUAUGGGUGCUAGCCGUCGGGGAGCAUGCUCUUCGGUGGCGCAGCAAACGCAUUAAGCACCCCGCCUGGGGAGUACGGUUGCAAGAUUAAAACUCAAAGGAAUUGACGG